CCGUCACACCACGAGAGUUUGUAACACCCGAAGUCGGUGGGGUAACCUUUAUGGAGCCAGCCGCCUAAGGUGGGACAGAUGAUUGGGGUGAAGUCGUAACAAGGUAGCCGUAUCGGAAGGUGCGGCUGGAUCACCUCCUUUCUAUGGAGA
Molecule: ribosomal RNA, 150 nt
Filed under: Bacillus nitratireducens
Lineage: Bacteria; Bacillati; Bacillota; Bacilli; Caryophanales; Bacillaceae
Description: partial 16S ribosomal RNA
Rfam family: Bacterial small subunit ribosomal RNA
Source: RNAcentral